RNAcentral lists this transfer RNA (71 nucleotides) under Oxymonacanthus longirostris (harlequin filefish). RNAcentral's name for it is "tRNA-Gln". It matches the Rfam family "tRNA". Rfam says of the family: Transfer RNA (tRNA) molecules are approximately 80 nucleotides in length. Their secondary structure includes four short double-helical elements and three loops (D, anti-codon, and T loops). Further hydrogen bonds mediate the characteristic L-shaped molecular structure. tRNAs have two regions of fundamental functional importance: the anti-codon, which is responsible for specific mRNA codon recognition, and the 3' end, to which the tRNAs corresponding amino acid is attached (by aminoacyl-tRNA synthetases). tRNAs cope with the degeneracy of the genetic code in two manners: having more than one tRNA (with a specific anti-codon) for a particular amino acid; and 'wobble' base-pairing, i.e. permitting non-standard base-pairing at the 3rd anti-codon position. Lineage: Eukaryota; Metazoa; Chordata; Actinopteri; Tetraodontiformes; Monacanthidae. The record is from RNAcentral.
UAGUAAGUAGUGUAGUGGGAGCACAGGGAGCUUUGAACUCCCCAGAUUGGGUUCGAGCCCCUUCUUUCUAA